UCGUUCCCCUCCAAUCCUACGUGGGCCU
This 28-nucleotide small RNA is filed under the name Bombyx mori (domestic silkworm). Its description in RNAcentral is "ovarian small RNA-29340". Lineage: Eukaryota; Metazoa; Arthropoda; Insecta; Lepidoptera; Bombycidae. The record is from RNAcentral.